UUGUCUACUAAUUAUAGACCUGUAUGAAAGGCAACAUGAGGGUCUAACUGUCUCUUAUAAUAAAUCAAUGAAACUGAUCUUCUAGUAAAAAAGCUAGAAUAACCCCAUAAGACCAGAAGACCCUGUGAAGCUUAAACCAAACUAUUAAAACACAUAAUAAUUAAUUUCGGUUGGGGCGACCUUGGAAAAAAAAAGAACUUCCAAACACUAUGAAUAAUACCUCAUAAUAUACUAGGCCCACAAGCCAAUUAAACGACCCAGCACAGCUGACAACUGAACCAAGUUACUCCAGGGAUAACAGCGCAAUCUUCUUCAAGAGCCCAUAUCAAAAAGCAAGGUUUACGACCUCGAUGUUGGAUCAGGACAUCCUAAUGGUGCAGCCGCUAUUAAGGGUUCGUUUGUUCAACGAUU
RNAcentral lists this ribosomal RNA (411 nucleotides) under Hemorrhois hippocrepis (horseshoe snake). RNAcentral describes it as "partial 16S ribosomal RNA". It matches the Rfam family "Bacterial large subunit ribosomal RNA", at positions 1969 to 2589 of the family's 2925-position model. Lineage: Eukaryota; Metazoa; Chordata; Lepidosauria; Squamata; Colubridae. The record is from RNAcentral.